GGCAAAAGGAUGAAACCUUUGUCGUCUGAAACCGAUGUGGAGCUUAAUAUCAUUCUGGUCUUCAAAGUUCUCUGAUUGCU
Molecule: small nucleolar RNA, 80 nt
Organism: Cucurbita maxima (winter squash)
Lineage: Eukaryota; Viridiplantae; Streptophyta; Magnoliopsida; Cucurbitales; Cucurbitaceae
Product: small nucleolar RNA R160
Exons: 1
Source: RefSeq, a predicted model, not a curated record